Arvicanthis niloticus (Nile rat) is the source of this 549-nucleotide long non-coding RNA. RefSeq lists it as uncharacterized. The record is from RefSeq and is a predicted model, not a curated record. NCBI's taxonomy places the organism in Eukaryota, Metazoa, Chordata, Mammalia, Rodentia, Muridae.
UUCACUGGCGGUGACAACGCGCGUCUUGCUCUGGACCGACGACAACCUGAGAUGGUUUUGGGGACAAUCCUAAACUUCCAACCUGCAGAAUCCAGUGCUCAGCGUUCACAUUGCAAUGCUUCUGGACCCCUCCCCCAAAUCUGCCGCAAUUUUGUGAGAUAGGAGACAAUGGGAUGCCUUCUCUAUGCUCUGUGACUCAGGACCCUCAGGAGAAGAUACAAAGACCAGAGUCUCGACAAGCGAAGAUCAAAGAAGAAAGCAAGGUGAACCAAUGCCAGAGUGUCGUUAGCGACACCAGCCCCAGUGAAGCCCAAUGAAGACCACAGAGUGACAAGGUGAACCAAUGCCAGAGCUCGUCCACUGUCGGGUUAUACUUACACUCUUUCCAAACAUCACAUGUCCUCUCAAGCAUCUGUUCCAGCAAAGCAUCACAUGCUCUUUCACCAGACAGCUUCCAAAAAACACCAUGUGCCAUUCAGCAAAACAUUUUCUCACAUGUCUGCUUCACAAAACAGCCUCUCAUAAGACAGUUUAAAUAAAAAUAUCGCA